GUAGGGAAUCUUCGGCAAUGGACGAAAGUCUGACCGAGCAACGCCGCGUGAGUGAAGAAGGUUUUCGGAUCGUAAAACUCUGUUGGUAGAGAAGAACGUUGGUGAGAGUGGAAAGCUCAUCAAGUGACGGUAACUACCCAGAAAGGGACGGCUAACUACGUGCCAGCAGCCGCGGUAAUACGUAGGUCCCGAGCGUUGUCCGGAUUUAUUGGGCGUAAAGCGAGCGCAGGUGGUUUAUUAAGUCUGGUGUAAAAGGCAGUGGCUCAACCAUUGUAUGCAUUGGAAACUGGUAGACUUGAGUGCAGGAGAGGAGAGUGGAAUUCCAUGUGUAGCGGUGAAAUGCGUAGAUAUAUGGAGGAACACCGGAGGCGAAAGCGGCUCUCUGGCCUGUAACUGACACUGAGGCUCGAAAGCGUGGGGAGCAAACAGGAUUAGAUACCCCGGUAGUCC
This 450-nucleotide ribosomal RNA is filed under the name uncultured bacterium. Its description in RNAcentral is "partial 16S ribosomal RNA". It matches the Rfam family "Bacterial small subunit ribosomal RNA", at positions 354 to 796 of the family's 1533-position model. The record is from RNAcentral.